UCAACUUUUUCUAAUCAUAAUUAAUUUAUAAUAAUAUUCAAUAAAAAAAAGUAUAAUGCAUAUUUUCCUCUGUUAUUUUUCUUUUUAAUGUGUGAUUAAAACUUUUCAUAAGUUUAUAUAAGGUAUUUUCCUUUUUUAAAAUGAUUUAAAAAAUUGUAAAUUAUGCCAAGCAGUCUUUACUUGAGAAAUAAUUCAUAAAAUUUUCUCUUUUAUGAUUAAAAUUAUGGAUAUAUUCACAAAAUGAAGAAUACAAUAUCAUAUUUUAUCAGGCUAGUCUUCGUUGGUGAUAUCAGUUAUGAUUACUACUAGAUAUCGAACUAAUAUUGUAAGUCUGCGCAUGCCGUGUUUCUUCGGCUUAUAUUUAUGCUUGCUUUUCAGAAUUGAGUCGUGUUGUAUCGUGUAAUGUCACAAAAAAAUAUAGAUCGUAUCGUGUCAUAUCGACAUUUUUAUAGGGUAGACACGCCACGGACUGUAGACCCAAUAUUUCAUACCGCGCUUGGAUUCGUAUCAUGCUUUGCUCAUACCGAUCCGUAUUUUUUAUACAAAUCAGCCUAUUUUCAUAUUCUGACUUAAAUUCAUGCUUUACUUUUUUAUAUUUUAAUUUUUCUUACAAUUAGUUUAUAUGUAUAUUUUAAAAUUUUAAUUAUAUUUAUAUACCUUUUAAACAAUGUUUUAUAAAUAAUCAUACAAAAAAAUUAUUAAUAUCAUUAUAAUCAGCUUUUAGAUCGUAUUGAGAGACUUGUUGUGCUUCUUUGGAGAGUUUGGGGAGCUCGUAAUGACUUAGUUUGGAAUAACAAGCCUUUGUCAGUAGAGAGAGUGGUGAAUGCUGCAAUUACUUACCUUGAUUCUUAGAAGAAUGCUCAGCUGGAAAGUAGGGUUGUGCGCUAAAUUCUGGUUCGAAUACUUCCAGGUGUGAGCAAUGGGCUAAACCUUGUUUUGGUGAGAUUGAGGUUAAUUGUGAUGCUGCUGUCUUUGAGGAUGACAAUAGUCUAGGUUUGGGGUGGAUUGCUCGGGAUCAUAAUGGGUUAUUCUUGGAUGCGCUGGCAGUUAAAACUUAUGGUCAACCCGACCCGUUUUUGGCUGAAGCUAUGGCGUUGAAGGAGGCGCUCAGUUGGGUGAAGGGAAGGUGGUUUGAGGGGGGUGUGCCUGCUGGUGUGGUUGUGGAGUCGGACUCGCUGCUGCUGGUGCAAGGCGUGCAGCAAAAGAAGCGGUUGUUGUCUCUGGUGGGGCUUUUGAUUUCGGAUUGUGUUGCUCUUAUGCAAUCCUCUCUUUUAUUUUCUAUUUCAAUUAGUUUUGUUAAACGGUCUGGGAACCAGGCGGCUAACUUUUUAGCUUGUUCUUCUGGUUCUAUUCUAGGCUGUGUUUCCCGCGGGGGUUUUAUCCCUGCUGGUUUGGAAGCUAUCUUGGUAGCUGAUUUGAUUUAAUAAAAUUUUAUUAAUUUUUUUUUUCA
This is a long non-coding RNA of Cannabis sativa, 1450 nucleotides long. RefSeq lists it as uncharacterized. Lineage: Eukaryota; Viridiplantae; Streptophyta; Magnoliopsida; Rosales; Cannabaceae. The transcript has 2 exons. The record is from RefSeq and is a predicted model, not a curated record.